Non-coding RNA from Pelobates fuscus (common spadefoot toad), 409 nucleotides. NCBI's taxonomy places the organism in Eukaryota, Metazoa, Chordata, Amphibia, Anura, Pelobatidae. The record is from the annotation of a RefSeq genome assembly.
UGCAUCAAUGGAAAUGUUCAACACUUUACUCUUUUAUGUCUUUCUUUCAUCAGUCUUUUUAAGUUUUGUCUCAGGGGAGAAAGUCACCCAGUCACCCCCUGAAGUGACAAGUGGUGAAGGGACGCAGGCCAUGUUCUCCUGUAGUACUGAUGUGACAGCUUCUAGUAUGUAUUGGUACAUACAGAAACCUGGGCAAGUACCUCGUCUUCUCUUUCGUGAUUUCACCAAAGAAGAAGAUCUAGAUGAAGAAGUGAAAGGUCGCCUUUCCUACAAAUAUGACAGAACAAAAAAUCAGUUUCCUCUGAAUAUUACCAAAUUGAGAAUUGCCGAUGCAGGGACUUAUUACUGUGCCAUGAUUCCCACACUAUAUAAAAAGCAUAAAGAAGAUGUACAAUAACAUUAGACAAAC